Long non-coding RNA from Hibiscus syriacus, 167 nucleotides. RefSeq lists it as uncharacterized. The record is from RefSeq and is a predicted model, not a curated record. The transcript is spliced from 3 exons. Lineage: Eukaryota; Viridiplantae; Streptophyta; Magnoliopsida; Malvales; Malvaceae.
UUAAAUAUUAUAUCAUACAGCUCAAUCACACAUUUAGAACAAGAGAUCUUGUGGGAAAGAAUGAUGCUAAAACCAGCAAGCAUUAGAUGAGUAGAGAGGACAUGCUUCCAUGUGAUGAUUUUCUUGAUCAAGGGUUUACAUGCUCCAAGCUUUUGAUCUUGUUACCU